Molecule: transfer RNA, 110 nt
Filed under: Christiangramia lutea
Lineage: Bacteria; Pseudomonadati; Bacteroidota; Flavobacteriia; Flavobacteriales; Flavobacteriaceae
Description: tRNA-OTHER
Rfam family: tRNA
About the family: Transfer RNA (tRNA) molecules are approximately 80 nucleotides in length. Their secondary structure includes four short double-helical elements and three loops (D, anti-codon, and T loops). Further hydrogen bonds mediate the characteristic L-shaped molecular structure. tRNAs have two regions of fundamental functional importance: the anti-codon, which is responsible for specific mRNA codon recognition, and the 3' end, to which the tRNAs corresponding amino acid is attached (by aminoacyl-tRNA synthetases). tRNAs cope with the degeneracy of the genetic code in two manners: having more than one tRNA (with a specific anti-codon) for a particular amino acid; and 'wobble' base-pairing, i.e. permitting non-standard base-pairing at the 3rd anti-codon position.
Source: RNAcentral
ACCCACGUGGCGGAAUUGGUAGACGCUAUUAGUAGGCUAUCCUUGAGGGUGCGCAGUUAAAUAAUCCCUCUCGCUGUAAGAUAGUGCAGGUUCGAGUCCUGCCGUGGGAA